Molecule: ribosomal RNA, 501 nt
Filed under: uncultured Pseudomonadales bacterium
Lineage: Bacteria; Pseudomonadati; Pseudomonadota; Gammaproteobacteria; Pseudomonadales
Description: bacterial SSU rRNA
Rfam family: Bacterial small subunit ribosomal RNA
Source: RNAcentral
AUUGAACGCUGGCGGCAGGCUUAACACAUGCAAGUCGAGCGGAGAUGAGGUGCUUGCACCUUAUCUUAGCGGCGGACGGGUGAGUAAUGCUUAGGAAUCUGCCUAUUAGUGGGGGACAACAUUCCGAAAGGAAUGCUAAUACCGCAUACGUCCUACGGGAGAAAGCAGGGGAUCUUCGGACCUUGCGCUAGUAGAUGAGCCUAAGUCGGAUUAGCUAGUUGGUGGGGUAAAGGCCUACCAAGGCGACGAUCUGUAGCGGGUCUGAGAGGAUGAUCCGCCACACUGGGACUGAGACACGGCCCAGACUCCUACGGGAGGCAGCAGUGGGGAAUAUUGGACAAUGGGGGGAACCCUGAUCCAGCCAUGCCGCGUGUGUGAAGAAGGCCUUAUGGUUGUAAAGCACUUUAAGCGAGGAGGAGGCUACUGAGACUAAUACUCUUGGAUAGUGGACGUUACUCGCAGAAUAAGCACCGGCUAACUCUGUGCCAGCCGCCGCGGUAA